Molecule: ribosomal RNA, 408 nt
Filed under: uncultured bacterium
Lineage: Bacteria
Description: bacterial SSU rRNA
Rfam family: Bacterial small subunit ribosomal RNA
Source: RNAcentral
GUGGGGGAUAUUGGACAAUGGGGGGAACCCUGAUCCAGCGACGCCGCGUGAGUGAAGAAGUAUCUCGGUAUGUAAAGCUCUAUCAGCAGGGAAGAAAGAAAUGACGGUACCUGAGUACGAAGCCCCGGCUAACUACGUGCCAGCAGCCGCGGUAAUACGUAGGGGGCAAGCGUUAUCCGGAAUUACUGGGUGUAAAGGGAGCGUAGACGGUGUGGUAAGUCUGGAGUGAAAGGCGGGGGCCCAACCCCCGGACUGCUCUGGAAACUAUCAGACUGGAGUGCAGGAGAGGCAGGCGGAAUUCCUGGUGUAGCGGUGAAAUGCGUAGAUAUCAGGAGGAACAUCGGUGGCGAAGGCGGCCUGCUGGACUGUAACUGACGUUGAGGCUCGAAAGCGUGGGGAGCAAACAGG